CAAUCAAGUAAUUAAGGGCACUCAACGAAUGCCUUGGCCAUAAGAGGCGAUGAAGGACGUGACAGGCUGCGAUAAGCUGCGGUGAGGGGCCAAUACCCUUUGACCCGCGGAUUUCCGAAUGGGGAAACCCACUCGUAAGAGUAUCUGUAACUGAAUACAUAGGUUACAGAAGCAAACCCAGGGAACUGAAACAUCUCAGUACCUGGAGGAAAGGACAUCAACCGAGACUCCGUUAGUAGUGGCGAGCGAACGCGGACCAGGCCAGUGAUCAGAACGUAAGAAACAGAAGCUGUUGGAAACCAGCGCCAUAGUGGGUGAUAGCCCCGUAUGUGUAGAAAGCGAUUUGAUCCUCGAGUAAGGCGGGACACGAGCAAUCCUGUCUGAACAUGGGGGGACCACCCUCCAAGCCUAAGUACUCCUUAUGGACCGAUAGUGAACAAGUACUGUGAAGGAAAGGUGAAAAGAACCCCGAAAGGGGAGUGAAAUAGACCUGAAAUUGGGUGCUUACAAGCAGUCAUAGCGGACAUGAUCCGUGGUGGCGUACCUCUUGUAUAAUGGGUCAGCGACUUAAACUACGUAGCAAGCUUAAGCCGAUAGGUGUAGGCGUAGGGAAACCGAGUCUGAAUAGGGCGAUAAGUUACGUGGUUUAGACCCGAAAGCAGUGUGAUCUAGCCAUGGCCAGAUUGAAAGUGGGGUAACACCCACUGGAGGAUCGAACCGAUUACCGUUGCAAAGGUACCGGAUGAGCUGUGGUUAGGGGUGAAAGGCUAAUCAAACCUGCAAAUAGCUGGUUCUCCGCGAAAUAUAUUUAGGUAUAGGCUUCAGUGAAUACCAAUGGGGGUAGAGCACUGGAUAGGCUAGGGGAUCGCAAGAUCUACCAAACCUAACCAAACUCCGAAUACCAUUGAGUAAUACUGAGGACUCAGACAGUGGGAGCUAACUUUCAUUGUCGAGAGGGAUAAAAACCCAGACCACCGUCUAAGGUCCCCAAGUCAUAGUUAAGUGGGAAAGGAUGUGACACUACCAUGACAGCCAGGAGGUUGGCUUAGAAGCAGCCAUCCUUUAAAGAAAGCGUAAUAGCUCACUGGUCUAGAUAAGUUAUGUUGCGCCGAAAAUGUAACGGGGCUAAAACUAUGCACCGAAGACGUGGACUCGAAAGAGUGGUAGCGGAGCGUUCCCUAAAUCUGUGAAGGUCAAUCGCGAGAUUGGCUGGAGAUAUGGGAAGUGAGAAUGCUGACUUGAGUAACGAUAAACACCGUGAGAGACGGUGUCGCCGAAAGUUCAAGGUUUCCUGCGCAAGGUUAAUCCGCGCAGGGUAAGCCGGAGCCUAACCCGAGGCCGACAGGCGUAGGGGAUGGUAACACGGUUAAUAUUCCGUGGCCCGUGGGUGUGUGACGAAGGCUGUAAGCUGUUCUUCCUUAUCGGAUUGGUAAGGGCAGCGAAAGACUUCCAGGAAAUAGCCCCCACAUUGGUCCGUACCUCAAACCGACACAGGUGGACUGGUAGAGUAUACCAAGGCGCUUGAGAGAAUGGCUGUGAAGGAACUCGACAAAUUGCUCCCGUAACUUCGGAAGAAGGGAGACCCUAUUUCGGGCAACCGCGAUAGGGUGGCACAUGCCAGGGGGUAGCGACUGUUUAACAAAAACACAGGGCUCUGCUAAGACGAAAGUCGAUGUAUAGGGUCUGACGCCUGCCCGGUGCCGGAAGGUUAAAGUGAGGAGUUCACGCUCUGAUCUGAAGCCCCGGUAAACGGCGGCCGUAACUAUAACGGUCCUAAGGUAGCGAAAUUCCUUGUCGGGUAAGUUCCGACCUGCACGAAUGGCGUAACGACUUCCCCAUUGUCUCCACAGCCAACUCAGUGAAGUAGAAUUCUUCGUGAAGAUGCGAAGUAACCGUAGUUAGACGGAAAGACCCUAUGCACCUUUACUACACCUUUGCAUUGGUAUUAAGAACUGUUUGUGUAGCAUAGGCGGGAGACUUUGAAGUUCCGGCGCCAGCUGGGAUGGAGUCAAAAAGUGAAAUACCGCCCUGAUCGUUCUUGAUAUCUAACCACAUCCGCUGAAUCGCGGAUUGGGACCAUGCAUGGCGGGUAGUUUGACUGGGGCGGUCGCCUCCCAAAGAGUAACGGAGGCGCGCGAUGGUGGGCUCAGGCUGGUCGGAAAUCAGCUGAUGAGUGCAAUGGCAUAAGCCCGCCUGACUGCGAGACUGACAAGUCGAGCAGAGACGAAAGUCGGCCAUAGUGAUCCGGUGGUUCCACGUGUGGAGGGCCAUCGCUCAACGGAUAAAAGGUACGCUAGGGAUAACAGGCUUAUCUCCCCCAAGAGUCCCCAUCGACGGGGAGGUUUGGCACCUCGAUGUCGGCUCAUCGCAUCCUGGGGCUGUAGAAGGUCCCAAGGGUAUGGCUGUUCGCCAUUUAAAGCGGUACGUGAGCUGGGUUCAAAACGUCGUGAGACAGUUUGGUCCCUAUCUGCUAUGGUUGUUGGAAUAUUGAGAGGAGCUUUCUCUAGUACGAGAGGACCGAGAAGGACGUAUCUCUGGUGCACCAGUCGUCACGCCAGUGGCGCAGCUGGGUAGCUAUAUACGGAUAAGAUAACCGCUGAAAGCAUCUAAGCGGGAAACUUUCCUCAAAACUAGUAUUCCCCAUUAGGAUCGUGGUAGACCACCACGUUGAUAGGCCGGGUGUGUAAGGGCGGCAACGCCUUCAGCUAACCGGUACUAAUAGUCCGAUUGACUUGAUUGCUUGCAUGAU
Molecule: ribosomal RNA, 2749 nt
Filed under: Alphaproteobacteria bacterium
Lineage: Bacteria; Pseudomonadati; Pseudomonadota; Alphaproteobacteria
Description: 23S ribosomal RNA
Rfam family: Bacterial large subunit ribosomal RNA
Source: RNAcentral